This 465-nucleotide ribosomal RNA is filed under the name uncultured Klebsiella sp. RNAcentral's name for it is "bacterial SSU rRNA". It matches the Rfam family "Bacterial small subunit ribosomal RNA", at positions 338 to 795 of the family's 1533-position model. Lineage: Bacteria; Pseudomonadati; Pseudomonadota; Gammaproteobacteria; Enterobacterales; Enterobacteriaceae. The record is from RNAcentral.
CCUACGGGCGGCUGCAGUGGGGAAUAUUGCACAAUGGGCGCAAGCCUGAUGCAGCCAUGCCGCGUGUGUGAAGAAGGCCUUCGGGUUGUAAAGCACUUUCAGCGGGGAGGAAGGCGUUAAGGUUAAUAACCUGGUCGAUUGACGUUACCCGCAGAAGAAGCACCGGCUAACUCCGUGCCAGCAGCCGCGGUAAUACGGAGGGUGCAAGCGUUAAUCGGAAUUACUGGGCGUAAAGCGCACGCAGGCGGUCUGUCAAGUCGGAUGUGAAAUCCCCGGGCUCAACCUGGGAACUGCAUUCGAAACUGGCAGGCUAGAGUCUUGUAGAGGGGGGUAGAAUUCCAGGUGUAGCGGUGAAAUGCGUAGAGAUCUGGAGGAAUACCGGUGGCGAAGGCGGCCCCCUGGACAAAGACUGACGCUCAGGUGCGAAAGCGUGGGGAGCAAACAGGAUUAGAUACCCGGGUAGUC